RNAcentral lists this unclassified non-coding RNA (394 nucleotides) under soil metagenome. Its description in RNAcentral is "partial contains 5.8S ribosomal RNA, internal transcribed spacer 2, and large subunit ribosomal RNA". The stretch from base 1 to 122 matches the Rfam family "5.8S ribosomal RNA", at positions 35 to 154 of the family's 154-position model. The record is from RNAcentral.
GAUGAAGAACGCAGCGAAAUGCGAUACUUGGUGUGAAUUGCAGAAUCCCGUGAACCAUCGAGUCUUUGAACGCAAGUUGCGCCCGAAGCCACUAGGCCGAGGGCACGCCUGCCUGGGCGUCACACGUCGUUGCCCCCCCCCCCAUCUACUCCUUCGGGAUUGCGGGGGGCGGAUGAUGGCCUCCCGGGCGCCUAGCCGCGCGGUUGGCAUAAAUACCAAGUCCUCGGCGACGCACGCCACGACAAUCGGUGGUUGCGAAACCUCGGUUGCCCGUCGUGUGCGUUCGUCGCGCAUCGAGGGCUCGAAAAAAUGCUCGGCUCCGGCUCGGCUUUCAACGCGACCCCAGGUCAGGCGGGGUUACCCGCUGAAUUUAAGCAUAUCAAUAAGCGGAGGA